GUGGUUGUGGGAGUGAAAAGGAGAAAGUGAGAGUUACGGUUGAGGGUUGAUUUACCGGUGAGGGGGAAGAGUGAAGAUGAAGGCUUGCGCGGAGAUGAGGAAGGAGGAGAAAGAAUCCUCUUCUUUGUUUUCACUUUAUUUUUCCUUUUCCGCUUUUUCCAGAGAGAGAGAGUAGACUAGUGGGUUUUUCGUCGCCUCCUCUUCCUCUU
This 209-nucleotide long non-coding RNA is filed under the name Lathyrus oleraceus (garden pea). RNAcentral describes it as "Pisum sativum (pea) long non-coding RNA (PSAT_LNC016750)". The record is from RNAcentral. Lineage: Eukaryota; Viridiplantae; Streptophyta; Magnoliopsida; Fabales; Fabaceae.